UACGUAGGGGGCAAGCGUUGUCCGGAAUCAUUGGGCGUAAAGAGCGUGUAGGCGGCCCGGUAAGUCCGCUGUGAAAGUCCAGGGCUCAACCCUGGGAUGCCGGUGGAUACUGUCGGGCUCGAGUCCGGAAGAGGAGUGUGGAAUUCCUGGUGUAGCGGUGAAAUGCGCAGAUAUCAGGAGGAACACCAGAGGCGAAAGCGGUUAACUGGGUCUAAACUGACGCUGAGGCGCGAAGGCUAGGGGAGCAAACAGG
RNAcentral lists this ribosomal RNA (253 nucleotides) under uncultured bacterium. Its description in RNAcentral is "partial 16S ribosomal RNA". It matches the Rfam family "Bacterial small subunit ribosomal RNA", at positions 524 to 776 of the family's 1533-position model. The record is from RNAcentral.